AUCCAGCUGAGGAGUCCCGAACAGGACGAACCGUGUGUCAAUCUGGAU
Molecule: non-coding RNA, 48 nt
Filed under: Schistosoma margrebowiei
Lineage: Eukaryota; Metazoa; Platyhelminthes; Trematoda; Strigeidida; Schistosomatidae
Source: RNAcentral